UACGUAGGGGGCAAGCGUUGUCCGGAUUUAUUGGGCGUAAAGCGCGCGCAGGCGGUCCUUUAAGUCUGAUGUGAAAGCCCACGGCUCAACCGUGGAGGGUCAUUGGAAACUGGGGGACUUGAGUACAGAAGAGAAGAGUGGAAUUCCACGUGUAGCGGUGAAAUGCGUAGAGAUGUGGAGGAACACCAGUGGCGAAGGCGUCUCUUUGGUCUGUAACUGACGCUGAGGCGCGAAAGCGUGGGGAGCAAACAGG
Molecule: ribosomal RNA, 253 nt
Filed under: uncultured bacterium
Lineage: Bacteria
Description: partial 16S ribosomal RNA
Rfam family: Bacterial small subunit ribosomal RNA
Source: RNAcentral